RNAcentral lists this ribosomal RNA (254 nucleotides) under uncultured bacterium. RNAcentral describes it as "partial 16S ribosomal RNA". It matches the Rfam family "Bacterial small subunit ribosomal RNA", at positions 524 to 776 of the family's 1533-position model. The record is from RNAcentral.
UACGUAGGGGGCGAGCGUUGUCCGGAUUUAUUGGGCGUAAAGAGCUCGUAGGCGGUUCGAUAAGUCGGAUGUGAAAUCUCCACGCUCAACGUGGAGGGGUCAUUCGAUACUGUCGUGACUCGAGUCCGGUAGGGGAGUGUGGAAUUCCCGGUGUAGCGGUGAAAUGCGCAGAGAUCGGGAGGAACACCCGUAGCGAAGGCGGCACUCUGGGCCGGUACUGACGCUGAGGAGCGAAAGCGUGGGGAGCAAACAGG